UGAAUACGAGAUGCUACGGCGUCGAAGCAGUGUAUGUCAGACUUCCAAGAAAAGCUCGCAAUGUCAUAAAUAAAGAAUGCCUGUACCAUAACCGACACAGGUGGGUAGGUAGAGUAUACUAAGGGGCGCGAGAUAACUCUCUCUAAGGAACUCGGCAAAAUAACUCCGUAACUUCGGGAGAAGGAGUGCCUUCUUUAAGAAGGUUGCAAUAACAAGAUCCAAGCAACUGUUUAUCAAAAACACAGGUCUCCGCUAAGUCGUAAGACGAUGUAUGGGGGCUGACGCCUGCCCAGUGCCAGAAGGUUAAAGAAGCUGGUUAGCAAUAGCGAAGCUGGUGACUGAAGCCCUGGUGAACGGCGGCCGUAACUAUAACGGUCCUAAGGUAGCGAAAUUCCUUGUCGGGUAAGUUCCGACCCGCACGAAAGGCGUAAUGAUUUGGAUACUGUCUCGGAGAGGGACUCGGUGAAAUAGACUUGUCUGUGAAGAUGCGGACUACCUGCACCAGGACAGAAAGACCCUAUGAAGCUUUACUGUAACCUGAAAUUGAAAUUGGACUUUAUUUGCGCAGUAUAGGUGGGAGGCGUUGAAAGUAAUCUUGCGGGAUUAGUGGAGCCAUCAGUGAGAUACCACUCCUAUAAUGUUAGAUUUCUAACUUUGGAUCAUGAUCUGGUCAAAGAACAGUUUCAGGCGGGCAGUUUGACUGGGGCGGUCGCCUCCCAAAUGGUAACGGAGGCGUACAAAGGUUUCCUCUGAACGGGUAGAAAUCGUAUCUAGAGUAUAAAGGCAUAAGGAAGCUUGACUGUGAGACCUACAAGUCGAGCAGGGACGAAAGUCGGUCUUAGUGAUCUGACGGUGCUGAGUGGAAAGGCCGUCACUCAACGGAUAAAAGUUACUCUAAGGAUAACAGGCUGAUCUCCCCCAAGAGUUCACAUCGACGGGGAGGUUUGGCACCUCGAUGUCGGCUCAUCGCAUCCUGGGGCGGUAGUACGUCCCAAGGGUUGGGCUGUUCGCCCAUGAAAGCGGUACGCGAGCUGGGUUCAGAACGUCGUGAGACAGUUCGGUCCAUAUCCGGUGUAGGCGUUAGAAUAUUGAGAGGAGCCUUCUCUAGUACGAGGGGACCGAGAAGGACAUACCUCUGGUGUACCAGUAAUCGUGCCAACGGUAAACGCUGGGUAGCUAUGUAUGGAGAGGAUAACCGCUGAAAGCAUCUAAGUGGGAAGCCCACCUCAAGAUGAGUAUUCUC
This 1243-nucleotide ribosomal RNA is filed under the name metagenome. RNAcentral describes it as "bacterial LSU rRNA". It matches the Rfam family "Bacterial large subunit ribosomal RNA", at positions 1564 to 2815 of the family's 2925-position model. The record is from RNAcentral.